UCAAACACAGAGAACGUCUGAUGCCCACCUCAACUUGUACCAGAAAAACAAGCACCUGAAAAGGUCUGCCUUUGACCUCUACAGGAAUCUUGCUGGGCUAUUGUGGUAGACCAAAGAACAAAAA
Molecule: non-coding RNA, 124 nt
Organism: Cyanistes caeruleus (blue tit)
Lineage: Eukaryota; Metazoa; Chordata; Aves; Passeriformes; Paridae
Source: RefSeq, a predicted model, not a curated record